Long non-coding RNA from Zeugodacus cucurbitae (melon fly), 1452 nucleotides. RefSeq lists it as uncharacterized. Lineage: Eukaryota; Metazoa; Arthropoda; Insecta; Diptera; Tephritidae. The record is from RefSeq and is a predicted model, not a curated record. The transcript is spliced from 4 exons.
UCUGUCGCAAGAGUUUCAUCGGAUUAGCUGGCUUUUAACCGCAUCCUACCGCUCCACGUCGGGGAUUGGUUAUUCGUUGAAACUUACUUCGCAUCUAACAUGCAACUACAGGCCUUUCGGCUAUCCGCGACCUGCCGACCCCUCCGGUAGUUUAGAGCUCAGCUGAGAUGCCUGAUCCAGCAAGAACCAGGCCAAAGGGUGUAAUUGUGUGGGUAAACAACUACAAAAGUGUGAUUGUAAUUUCUUGAACGUGUAAAGUCCGGGUUAUACAUACAAAAAUUAAGGUUAAUGAAUGUUCCCAGCAAGUCAUGGGUACUGAAACUCCAACACAUUCAAAGAAAUUUUAACAACACCACUACAUACACACAUACACAACAAAGGGUAAAAUGUGCAUAAACAUUUAACUCAACUCUUCUCUCAUACAGCACCCUGAAUGAUAGAAAGAAACAACCAAAGUUCUCGUGUUUGAACAAGUUUUGUUUUGAGCUAUAUCAUGGCUGCUUGUGAAGUUUUAUUUUGCGUGUUUUAUUUAAUUCAGUGAUCUGCAGCCAAAUUAAAGUAUAAAUUAUUGAAGCACGCAUUUUUAAAUAAGUAAAACGUAAAAUAAAAGUUUUCUAAGGCCAAAAUAUGGAAUUGAAGAGGGUGAUACAGUAAUACUUCAUUGCACUAUCAAUUCGAAGCACGCAAUAGAAGCCAACAAUGGUCAACAUCAAUGGCGAAACCAUUGAAUACAUAUUUCAAACCUCAUAUGACACGUUAAAGGUACGCAAACUUAUUGGUGUCACUUAUUGUAGCAGCGUAGAACUUUCGAAGCGAUGGAAUAUGUGCUGCAAGCAAAUCCAAAACUAUGGACGCAAACGCUGCUACAUGGAACACAAAUCAUUCACACACCAGAUAUUACGUUCAAUGUCACUUUUUUGCGUGCAAUUAAACCUUUUGGUCAACACAAGCACGAGAAUUGGAACGACAUGGUUUAGGUGCUUUUGAAACCGUUUAUUUUCACGACGUGUGUCAAAUGGGUUUUGCCAAUGAGCUAGAGGGCAAAGCAGUUUCAGUAUCUUUGAGCUUACCGGCACUUGGCCGUGCUAUUAGCAGCUAAAACACAGAAAUUAAAGGGAGGACUUUUUUGAUUCAUUUUCACCUUGUAUUGAGGAAUCAUAACGUUGUUGUAUCGCUUUACAAGGACAUAAAUUCACCGAAAUUAGUUCAAUGGAAAUACUACAGCAAGAGCAUGGAUGUUAAGACUUGAACGGUGCCGUGUUAGAUUUAGAAUUCCUGAAACAUAAGAAACCCUCCUCCCAGAUGAAUCUAGUACUAGUGAAAUUAAUGAAAGAACAGAUCUUAUAAAAACUCCGAAAGAAACCAAAAGAGUCCUCACAUAAUGUGCGCAGCUUACAGUUCCAGACCGCACGGGGUAUUUGACAUUUUCCACUCUUCCUCCAGCCUUUGUCC